AGGGUUACAGUGUAUAAUUAAAAAUCUGUUGUCCUAAAAAGAAAACUACAUUUCCUGGGAGCCCACUGACUUCCUGUUGUUACGUACUUCCUGUAGACAGAGAAUAAAUUCAGUGGGUGUGCCUGCUCUGUCCUCUUCGGCUUCCUGUUGGCGGGCAUGGUGGUGGGGAACAGGAACAAGAAAGCUUGUGACAUCUGACCACAUACAUGAAGAAGUCUCUCCUGGCACCAUAAAAAAGGAGACAUAACUUCAGGAGAGAAGAAAUUCAUGUUGGAGGAAGAAAGAAAAAGAGUUGUGGAGUGAAGAGAAAGGAGACCUAAGAAGAAGAAAAGGACAGUUUUCUGCUCCUCUGAUCACUAGGGAGAGAGAGGCUGAACCGAGAAAAGGCACUCCAAAUCCAGACUGGGAAGCCAACGCUCCUCCUCCAACACCAGGAAGGAAGUCAGGAAAGGAAGGCAGGAAGGAAGUGCUAGUCACAAGACCCAACUGCCACUCCCAGUUGCCCCUUCCCCCACCAACUGUAAGUCUUGACAAUUUCUUCUCCUUUGAUAUUCCCACUGUUGUUUGUUCAAACACAGUGGCAGAAAGUUCAGAACUUAUUACUAGUUUCCUUUCCACAAGAGAAAGCCUCUAAUCUUCAAGGACCUCUAUAGUUGCUCUGGUCUUAAGCUAAUGAACUAUUAUCACAUUAGUGAGAUUCCAUUCCAAGCAUUGUCUUCGUUAUGAAAGUGUCUAAUUCGCAAGGUUGUUUAGAAAUAUUCCUGAGAUAAUGAUGCAGGUCCUCUUAAUACCCUUUGUGGCUCCAUGAUUGUAUUGUUUUAGCCAGUGAUGAAAUGCAACUCUAUAUACAUUGUGUAAUUAGAAAACCUUGAACCCUCGGACUCCAUCUUCCAGAAUUCUAUUUCUCGUCCCAAAAUUCCUUUUCUCUUCAUGGUCACCAUAAAUGUAAGCUUAAAAUUAAUAUAUGAUAACUCCAAGUAUCAUAUUUAAUGAAGUUUAUUAAUAAUAACUUGAAGUAAAAGGAAUAAAAAGACAAAAUUAAAAGCCUGAUUAGAACCA
This 1059-nucleotide long non-coding RNA is filed under the name Monodelphis domestica (gray short-tailed opossum). RNAcentral's name for it is "lncRNA (ENSMODG00000032685.2)". The record is from RNAcentral. Lineage: Eukaryota; Metazoa; Chordata; Mammalia; Didelphimorphia; Didelphidae.